UACGAAGGGUGCUAGCGUUGCUCGGAAUCACUGGGCGUAAAGGGUGCGUAGGCGGGCAUUUAAGUCGGGGGUGAAAUCCUGGAGCUCAACUCCAGAACUGCCUUUGAUACUGAGUAUCUUGAGUACGGGAGAGGUGAGUGGAACUGCGAGUGUAGAGGUGAAAUUCGUAGAUAUUCGCAAGAACACCAGUGGCGAAGGCGGGUCUCUGGACAGUUACUGACGCUGAGGCACGAAGGCCAGGGGAGCAAACGGG
RNAcentral lists this ribosomal RNA (253 nucleotides) under uncultured bacterium. Its description in RNAcentral is "partial 16S ribosomal RNA". It matches the Rfam family "Bacterial small subunit ribosomal RNA", at positions 524 to 776 of the family's 1533-position model. The record is from RNAcentral.